AAUGAACGUUGGCGGCGUGGAUUAGGCAUGCAAGUCGAGCGAGAAACCAUAGCUUGCUAAGGUGGACAGCGGCGAAAGGGAGAGUAAUACGUAGAAAUCUGCCCCGGAGUCUGGGAUAGCGUUGGGAAACUGGCGGUAAUACCGGAUAACGUCUUCGGACCAAAGAAUUUCGCUCUGGGAUGAGUCUACGACCUAUUAGCUUGUUGGUGGGGUAACGGCCUACCAAGGCGACGAUGGGUAGCGGGUGUGAGAGCAUGAUCCGCCUCACUGGGACUGAGACACUGCCCAGACAUCUACGGAUGGCUGCAGUCGAGAAUCUUUGUCAAUGGACGAAAGUCUGAACAAGCGACGCCGCGUGCGGGAUGAAGGCCUUCGGGUUGUAAACCGCUUUCGGAGGGGAGGAAAUUUUGACUGAACCUCAAAAGAAGGACGGGCUAAGUUCG
This 443-nucleotide ribosomal RNA is filed under the name uncultured Planctomycetaceae bacterium. RNAcentral describes it as "bacterial SSU rRNA". It matches the Rfam family "Bacterial small subunit ribosomal RNA", at positions 29 to 505 of the family's 1533-position model. The record is from RNAcentral. Lineage: Bacteria; Pseudomonadati; Planctomycetota; Planctomycetia; Planctomycetales; Planctomycetaceae.